Molecule: transfer RNA, 72 nt
Filed under: Camelus bactrianus (Bactrian camel)
Lineage: Eukaryota; Metazoa; Chordata; Mammalia; Artiodactyla; Camelidae
Also listed under: 2 other names
Rfam family: tRNA
About the family: Transfer RNA (tRNA) molecules are approximately 80 nucleotides in length. Their secondary structure includes four short double-helical elements and three loops (D, anti-codon, and T loops). Further hydrogen bonds mediate the characteristic L-shaped molecular structure. tRNAs have two regions of fundamental functional importance: the anti-codon, which is responsible for specific mRNA codon recognition, and the 3' end, to which the tRNAs corresponding amino acid is attached (by aminoacyl-tRNA synthetases). tRNAs cope with the degeneracy of the genetic code in two manners: having more than one tRNA (with a specific anti-codon) for a particular amino acid; and 'wobble' base-pairing, i.e. permitting non-standard base-pairing at the 3rd anti-codon position.
Source: Rfam by way of RNAcentral
GUAGAUAUAGCUCAGUGGUAGAGUGCAUGCUUAGCAUGCACGAGGUCCUGGGUUCAAUCCCCAGUAUCUCCA